Drosophila albomicans is the source of this 1276-nucleotide long non-coding RNA. RefSeq lists it as uncharacterized. The transcript is spliced from 3 exons. NCBI's taxonomy places the organism in Eukaryota, Metazoa, Arthropoda, Insecta, Diptera, Drosophilidae. The record is from RefSeq and is a predicted model, not a curated record.
AGUUCGUUCAUUCCACUGAAAAGAUAUUUUUUAUUCCUCCGUUCGCUCGCAAGCUGCUCAACACUGGUUUUUAAUAUUCUUUCGCGUUCGCUAUAUGUCGCUCACUUUAUGACAGAAGUAAAAGUCAAAGGUACACACAAGUCAUUUGGACUGCGGCUAAGCCAACAGUGCAAUAACUUUUAAUUUACACGACGUAACUUGGGGGAACCAACCUGCAGUUCCUGCACCCCGGCUAAAACCCCCUUGGCCAUGGCGCCAAACCUUUUUCUCAUGCUGGUAGCUAAUGCAUUUUGUAUUGGCCAAGUCAAAGUGCUGUGUGCACAGGGAGUGAGUUUGGGUUUUGAAAUUGACUGUCUUACUUUUGACUUUGAGAUACGCCAAAAGGGAAAAUGUAAACGGCUCCGGCGACGGGAGUAGUUGCCACGCCCCCUCUCCACACACAUUUGAUGUUUGAGUUGCAUUCAGCGCUGGUGACUUUCUCGUAUCCGCAGUUGGCGUUGCACUUGGCAGCGAGUAAGUGUGUUUGAAAAAAAACCAUCAUCAUCAUCAUCGUGAGCAUCCAGCAUCAAAGUUUGCUGUUAAUUUAGGCUUGGGCGGCAAGUGUAUAAAAAUUAUGCAUAGUUUGCAUUUGUGGCUGAAAAGAAUGCUAAAUUGCUUCUUAAGAUCAGUGCCAAAGCGAACUAGAAUUACUGCUGCCCAAAAGGCAAUGGAAACGACAAAUUUAUGUUUGUUUUUUGUUCGGACAAUGCGAAUGAAAGGAUACAACAAGGUCCAAGCCCAAGCCAAUGCCAAAGCCGAAGUCGCACGCCAAAGUAUUCACAUACUUAAUACAGAUUACAGUUGAGUGCAUUUUCAAAAGUCAGCACUCGACACAAUAUAAAUUCAAAAGCCAAAAGAUGUCUGGCUCUGUGCUGUUGCUGCUACUGCUGCUGCCCCGGACGUAAUUUCAAUAAGCAAACGACACAGCUGGGGGUCGAGUUGGGUCAGUUGGCCACACACAAAUGGAAACGUCAUGGUCCGGGCACAAAAUGCCAACUUUGCAAUUUGCAAUUUAACUUGAGAGAACCACAGAAGUGAAGUAAACAGACAGUGCCAGAAUAGGCCCAAGCCCAAGCCGAUGCUUUUGCCAAGUGUAAACAAAUCUUCUGAUUCUUGCAAAAGCCAAAGCUAAAGUGUUGAUUUCCAGCUCUCCCUAUAUGCUUAAGUCACAGCAAAUAGACCUACAACAUACUCCCCUCAUCUCGGCCUCUCUUUCACCACCACAGAAAUAAAGAAA